Molecule: long non-coding RNA, 521 nt
Organism: Topomyia yanbarensis
Lineage: Eukaryota; Metazoa; Arthropoda; Insecta; Diptera; Culicidae
Exons: 2
Source: RefSeq, a predicted model, not a curated record
CUUUUGAGCUGUGCGUCGCUUUCGCACUUAUUAGUGUUGUCAAAAUCAAAACGAAAGAUUCGACUCAGGUCGAGGUCUUCCGUGCAGUAAGGUACUUUUAAGUUGUUUGGGGUAUACUCAAAAUUAGUUAAAUGGAAACUACCUUCAACCAAAGAGGAUAGGGAAAGAGACGAAUAGACUUUUCUACGGCUCAUGUACGUACACGCCACAUGACACAAACACUACAUUACAAGCUGGUGGAAAAUAAUAAACAAAGACGGCAAAAGUAAAUGGGAUUGUUUUCAACCAGGAAACUUCAUGAGUGUUCGUGAGACCAGUCGCAAAGAACUCAAUAGUGUGAAGCCUUAUUGAGCAGACCAAUCGUGCAAUGUAAAUAAACAUUACUCAUGCCUGAGUUAGAGGAGAUAAGUAUUGUACAUCUAUCAAAAAAGAAAUUUGAGUUUUCGUCAGAAUUUAGUUCAAUUGGGAUUGUAAGGUGCAUUCUAGAGUAUAUGUAUGAGUAAAAACAAGCUUUAAAAAUA